RNAcentral lists this ribosomal RNA (468 nucleotides) under uncultured bacterium. RNAcentral's name for it is "partial 16S ribosomal RNA". It matches the Rfam family "Bacterial small subunit ribosomal RNA", at positions 28 to 507 of the family's 1533-position model. The record is from RNAcentral.
GACGAACGCUGGCGGCGUGCUUAACACAUGCAAGUCGAACGGAAAGGCCCUGCUUUUGUGGGGUGCUCGAGUGGCGAACGGGUGAGUAACACGUGAGUAACCUGCCCUUGACUUUGGGAUAACUUCAGGAAACUGGGGCUAAUACCGGAUAGGAGCUCCUGCUGCAUGGUGGGGGUUGGAAAGUUUCGGCGGUUGGGGAUGGACUCGCGGCUUAUCAGCUUGUUGGUGGGGUAGUGGCUUACCAAGGCGUUGACGGGUAGCCGGCCUGAGAGGGUGACCGGCCACAUUGGGACUGAGAUACGGCCCAGACUCCUACGGGAGGCAGCAGUGGGGAAUAUUGCACAAUGGGCGGAAGCCUGAUGCAGCAACGCCGCGUGCGGGAUGACGGCCUUCGGGUUGUAAACCGCUUUCGCCUGUGACGAAGCGUGAGUGACGGUAAUGUGUUAAGAAGCACCGGCUAACUACGUG